UGGGGAAUAUUGCACAAUGGGCGAAAGCCUGAUGCAGCAACGCCGCGUGAGUGAUGAAGGCCUUCGGGUUGUAAAGCUCUGUCUUCUGGGACGAUAAUGACGGUACCAGAGGAGGAAGCCACGGCUAACUACGUGCCAGCAGCCGCGGUAAUACGUAGGUGGCAAGCGUUGUCCGGAUUUACUGGGCGUAAAGGAUGCGUAGGCGGAUACUUAAGUCAGAUGUGAAAAUCCCGGGCUUAACUUGGGAACUGCAUUUGAAACUGGGUAUCUAGAGUGCGGGAGAGGAAAGUGGAAUUCCUAGUGUAGCGGUGAAAUGCGUAGAGAUUAGGAAGAACACCAGUGGCGAAGGCGACUUUCUGGACCGUAACUGACGCUGAGGCAUGAAAGCGUGGGGAGCAAACAG
This 403-nucleotide ribosomal RNA is filed under the name uncultured bacterium. Its description in RNAcentral is "bacterial SSU rRNA". It matches the Rfam family "Bacterial small subunit ribosomal RNA", at positions 355 to 775 of the family's 1533-position model. The record is from RNAcentral.